UUAGGAUUUAGGGUUUGGAUUAGGGUUUGAUUUAGGAUUUAGGAUUUUAUUAGGAUUUGUUUUAGGGUUUAGGAUUUAGGAUUUGGAUUAAGGUUUGGUUUAGGAUUUUAUUAGGAUUUUAUUUAGGGUUUAGGAUUUAGUUAGAAUUUGAUUAAGAGUUUAGGAUUUAGGUAGGAUUUGUAUAGGAUUUAGGAUUUGGAUUAGGUUUUGGUUAGGAUUUGAUUUAGAAUUUAGGAUUUAGUUUAAGAUUUGAUUAGGAUUUGGUUUAGGAUUUGAUUGGGAUUUGUUUAAGAUUUGAUUUAGAGUUUAGGAUUUUAUUAGGAUUUUAGAUUCAAUUAUUUUUGGCCUAAAGUUUGAAUGAAGUUCAAUAGGAUUUUAAAUAGAAUUAAAUUAAGAUUGAAUUGAAAUGUAUUUGAGUGAUAUUUGUGAUCCUUCUAAUAUUUCUUUCAGAAUUCUUAUUGUUU
RNAcentral lists this long non-coding RNA (464 nucleotides) under Physcomitrium patens. RNAcentral describes it as "long non-coding RNA (PPAT_LNC012796)". Lineage: Eukaryota; Viridiplantae; Streptophyta; Bryopsida; Funariales; Funariaceae. The record is from RNAcentral.